CCUAGUUCUGUUUAGAGUUUGUUUAUCCAUCAUAAUAGGUAUCCCCACAUUACUAGUUAUCAUACUCAACCCCUUAGCAUUCCACAUAUAAAGAGGAACAUUCCUUAAAUUCAACCAUAUAGGAAUAGUUCUCAACUCUUCCAUAUCCUUUUCAAUAGUUUUAGACCAAGGUCGAAUAAUGAAUAAACGAUUUAGAAUAUAAAUUGACCCAUGUUCAAGUGCUUUAACACGGUCCUCUUCAUUAUCAAACUCAAACAAGAACAAACUAUCACCAUUAAUGGUUAUCUGCAAGUUACAUGUAGGUUUCCAGGCUUUGAGAGCAGCAUUACGAACCACAUAAUAAGAAAGUCUUCUUCCAACAAAAACCCCUGCUACCAAAUCCUCACAUCUACGAAUCUCUUCUUUAAACACUGAUGAAGAUACUGGAGUAAUCCUCUCACCAUCAACCAUUUGAGGAGAAAAAAAUUUCAUCGAAGCUUCAGGAUUCAAUUCUUGUUUCUACGGGAAGAGAGUAGAAGCCCAAGCUUUAGACACGGGCUUACUAAGAGUAAACUCUUCAAAACCAGGAGGAAUCAAACAAUCACAAACUGAGUCACUAACAUGAUUAAUUAGAUCUAGAAACAUCUCCCCUAACAGGUUUCUCUAUCCUCUGGGAAGAAGAAGACAGAGGCGGAUUUGAUUUUGAGACUAUCAUACUUGAAAUCAAUCAUAAAUCUGAGCAAAACGAACCGGAGAUUUGAGAGAAAAAUUGGAUCGAAAAUGAGAACGACGAAGAAAAACCAAUCUUGAAUUUUGGUCAAAAUCGCCCGGCCAAAGGCAAGAUACUCUCAAUAGUCCUUGAUCUGAAUAGUCUGUUGUUUUUUACUGUCAAAAAGAUCCAAUGCUUACAAACUACCACCUUCUCCACCAAGGUUUCCGAUGAUUGGAAACCUUCAUCAAGUAAGAGCAUUAGCUCAUCGAUCCUUCUGAGAUCUUUCACAAAAAUAUGGUCCAUUGAUGUUAUUACACUUGUGUCAAUCGCCAACUCUCGUAGUUUCAUCCGUGGAAAUGGUUAUGGAAAUAAUGCAAAACCAAGAUCUUGUCUUUGCAAAUAUACCUUCUACCACCGCUGCAAUUGCGUUACCAUACAGAUGUUCUGAUAUCGCUUUUCCACCUUACGGUGAAUAUUGGAGGCAACUGAGGAAGAUAUGCGUUCAAGAGCUAUUGAGUGUACAGAGCGUUCACUCAUUCAAGAAAAUGAGAGAAGAAGAAGUCGACGCUGUAAUCCAGAUCAUAUCGAAUUUAUGUUCAACAAGGGAAAGAGGAAAAGUAGUAAUUAAUAUUAGUAAAUUACUGCUAACUCUAUCAACCAACAUCAUUUCUAGGUGUGCUCUCGAUGCUAAGUUUGAAAGCAUUCAUGGAAACAAAUUUGGUCAACUGUCAAAAAAACAUUGCGACGUUGCUCGGAGCUUUUAGUUUUGGUGAUUAUUUUCCAUCUCAUGGUUGGAUGGACGAUGUUACUGGAUUAUCUAGUAAGCUUGAGAGGGUGUCCCAAGAACUCGAUGCUUUCUUUGACCAAGUCAUUGACGAGCAUCUCCUUCGUCAUUCUGAAUCCCAAGAUGGACAGUGCCAAGGAGAGGAUAUUAAUAAACUAGACUUGAUGGAUAUUCUACUCCUUUCUCAGAAGGACAAUCCAAAUGUCUCUUGAAAGAAUAUCAAAGCAAUAAUCCUGCUCAUAAAGAAUGCACUUGCCUACACCUUUACUAUUAAGAGAAUCAUCCAAGAGUUCCCAAAUAGCAGGUUUCGAUAUUCCUCCCCGCAUAAAAGUUUACAUCAAUGCGUGGGAAAUUCAUAGAGAUGCUAAACUAUGGGACGAGCCAGAUGAGUUUCACCCUGAGAGAUUUAUGAACAUCCCGAUCGAAUUUAAGGGCCGAGAAUUGGAAUAUAUUCCAUUUGGGUCCGGAAGAAGAGGGUGUCCAGGAAUAUCAUUUGGCAUCACAGUUGUUGAAUACAUUCUUGCCAAUCUCUUGUACUACUUUGAUUGGGAACUUCCUGCUGGUGACAAAAGAGAGGGCCUAGACAUGACUGAAACUUCUGGCCUUACAGUUCAUAAGAAAAUUCCGACAAUAUACACAUCACCUUGCACCAUCCA
Molecule: long non-coding RNA, 2131 nt
Organism: Papaver somniferum (opium poppy)
Lineage: Eukaryota; Viridiplantae; Streptophyta; Magnoliopsida; Ranunculales; Papaveraceae
Exons: 2
Source: RefSeq, a predicted model, not a curated record